GCCUGCAAGGACGCCGCCCGCGCGGGGAACAGGGGAUUCCGCGGGUGGAGUACCCCAACUCAAAAUUUGACCUGCAGAAUCCUACCCGUGGGAAGACCACGGGAGGCCACCGUGUCAGAGUUGGAGCGUGGGGAUGAAGGCGGCUUAAGAUUGAAAAGGAAAAGCCCAGUUAGAGAGAUCUGCGGGAAGGUAGUAGAGCCCUGAAAGAAAAAGAGGAAUUUAAAAAAGAAAGAAAGAAAGAAAAAGAAAAGAAACGUGGCAGCGAGUUGCAGCCCAAACCCCCUGUGACAUACCCAUCAGUGCUAAUGGCUCCGGCUUUCUAGGUCACCUGUCGCACACUGGAUUCUUGCCGGAGUUAGUCCCUCUCCAGUGUCUUCUCUGAAUUCCCUCUGCUCUCCUGCUAGCUGCAGGCCUUUAUCAGCUCUUACCUCAAACUGCAAUAACCUCUCCUAACUGGUCUUCCCACUCUCGGAUGCUUACACCUUCUGCUUCUGGCAUUUCUGCUGCAGUAAUCUUCUUCUUAUGCCAUACACCUGCCCCUAAAUCAUCAGCCUUUUGACACCGCCAGUAUGGCCCCACCCAUUUCACCUACACAGCUAUAUCCCUGUUUUAGCCUAGAGUAACUGGUCCUUCUAUUGUACUGAAUCGCUUUUGAACCCCUGCUUAUGGUUUUAGUUUAGCCCGGAUAUACCUACCCACUUUAAAUUUUGAAAUCCUAAUUAUACCUCAAGGAACAUUCAUAUGCCACCUCCUUUCCUGAUUCUCUCAAACAUAUGUCAUCUCUCUCUUCUGAACGCCCAUAACACUUCCAUAAUAGUCUAUGACUUGUCUUACUGUUUUAUGUGGAAACGUCGUAAAGAGAGGAACUGGUACAUAACUCCUUUUGUUUUAGCUUGCUCGCUCCCUCACUGUCUCUCUGUCCCUCUGUCUCUCUCUCUCUGUCUCUCUCACUGUGUCUCUCUCUGUCUGUCUCUGACUCUGUCUCUGUGUGUGUGUGUGUGUGUGUGUGUGUCACCUGCACCUGCAUGCUGCUGUGGGCCACAUCUGCAGAGCAGUGCCCACAGAAGCCAGAAGAGGGCAAGGGAUCCUCUGGAAGUGGAGUUAUAUAUAAGAUGAUUGGUAGCUGCCAUGUAGGUGCUGGAAAAUGAAUCGAGAACAGAGGUAUCCUUAACUGGUUCUCGGAGCUCGUGUGAUCGUGUCCCAUGAGCUGCCCACACUCUGAACAUCAUUGCAUCCAGGAGGGUUUCCUCAGAGAAGGACUCUGGUUCUUUACACAUCCAGUUAUCCAAGCUGUUCCGAGCUGAAGCUGCAAGUUGCCAAGCUUCUCAAGCCCAUGGCCUUGGGUCCCAGUCAGCCCCGCCGAGUCUUCUCACCCGAGACAUCUUAUUCCUCCCCAGGCCUCCGCAUCUACUGUGUGCUUUGCAGACUUCGUCAUUUUUGCUACUUCAGUGAGACUAUGUUAUGAACUAUUCUUGGAAAAAUAUCCCCAGUUGCUUCAUAGCACCCCUAAAGCUAACCAUUCCCUUCCGUAGAAAAUGAAUGAGUUAAAAGCCUUGUCAAGCCAAGUAUUUAACAGAGGAAGGUGGGAAAUGGUCACAAGAGCAUUGCCUUUGGACAGGAUUAAUCAGUUUUCACAGGACUGAGUUUUGUUUUGUUUUAAAUGAAAAUUUCCUACUUCCUACUUUUUUAUUCGUGGUAGCACUACCAUAAUUUAGAGGGCACUAUACCUGGUAUAAUAAAAAGGAAAGGCUUCAAGAGAUAAAAGGCCUCAGGGAUGCCCAUCUAAUUGGCACUACAAUUGCAUCAGAGUCCAUGAACUCUGCAGAGUAUGGGUGGGACAGUCCUGAGCAAGCAGAGUUUCUGGUUUUAAGUGACAGUAUCCUUUCUAUGGUUUGUGGCUCCUUCUGUGGCAGACUUGUACAGUAUGGGAGGAUGCCUCAAAGUGACCUGCAGCUCUAACACCUCCUGAUGCAUGCUGGAGCCCUUUUCUGAUGGUCUUAAAACCCCUGGCUUUUAUAUCCAGCUCUUGUACCACGAGAUCCAUAACCACCCCCAUAGACAGGGUCUGCCUGCCCAUCACCUCCCCUUCCUGAGUCCACUAUUUCAUUGCUAUUGUCCACCAUAAUCUCCAAAUGCAGUAUAGCUAUCACCACCACCAAGAUUUCCUCCUUCAUCGUAACUGUCACAUCGUCUUCUCCCAUACCUUAGUGUCCAUAGCUUGGUCCCCUAUAGAGAGCCUCCUCUACUCCUAUAACCAGGACCAUUGCCAUAGUUGUCCUUUUCACCUCCAAAAGACUGUAUCGUCAUCACUCCUCCACAACCACCUCUGCUGCCAACAUCUUCACCAGAAGAGUCUACUCUUUGACUGCAGUUCCCACCUUAGCCAAAACUAACUUCACCAGUUGUAAAGUUGCCAGAUCUACCCCAUGGCCUACUUGUGGUCCAGUAACCACAUUUCUUGUUUAGAAGUCUCGUUCUUCACUUUACAGUCAUGCUCAUGAAUAGUGUGGGAUCUAUAAGCCGUGUCAUCAGCUUAUUUUUGGUCAUUAAACUUA
Molecule: long non-coding RNA, 2555 nt
Organism: Mastomys coucha (southern multimammate mouse)
Lineage: Eukaryota; Metazoa; Chordata; Mammalia; Rodentia; Muridae
Exons: 2
Source: RefSeq, a predicted model, not a curated record